Molecule: long non-coding RNA, 3814 nt
Filed under: Xyrichtys novacula (pearly razorfish)
Lineage: Eukaryota; Metazoa; Chordata; Actinopteri; Labriformes; Labridae
Source: RNAcentral
CUCAUACACUGCACAAGAAAGCCUUAGACAAAAAGGUGAGAAAGUUCUGAUGGUGCCAGCUGCCUUUUUAUGCCAUCUAAUCUGUUUAUAUGAAUAGGCCUAUAAUGAUGUGAUGUCAGUGACUGAUUCAGGGUGAGUUGGAGAAUAAUGAGGUGCCCCAUUAUCAUAAUUUCCCUGAUUCAGAUGAGUGGUUUUCUAACUCUGGGUGGUGAGCUCUUGCAUUGUUGCUUCAAACACUCGUGUUCUCUCUCUCGCUCUCUCUCUCUCUCUCUCUCUCUCUUGCUGUGUGGCUGUUUGUGUAGUUCGGCCCACACUAUAUGUUUAUGUCAUGAAUGACAAAUAAAUGGAGCACUCUGAGAACAUUUACGAGGUGGUAAGGAUUUUCCUCUGAAAAUGACACUUCCAUGCUGCAUUAUCAAACCUGUGAGAGGUUUUAAUAAAUCUGUUAUGAGUAACAUUUUGGUUUUAAGACAAGUGGAUUUUCUAAUUUGUCUCCAGCCUGCAGCCUACAGCACUCAUCAUCAGCUAAAGGUGAUAGUUUUCCGCAGAUGUGACUGGAGUGGUAACCAACAUUAUUAAGUGUCUGCCAGCGAAAGCUUGAUGUCUGUGGUUUGUGCAGCUUCACGCUUACACAGGAAAUAGGGAUGAGUUGGUUUUCCUGUUUCUCUUCAUCUGUAUUUUGUUUAGAUUCACAUAUCAGUAGGAUUUUCACUUGCAGACUCUGAAUUAACUACGGGACUGAGGUUAUGUGGUGUCUAACAAAACACUUUUUUAACUAAGUCACCACAUUUUGUAAAUGGUUUCAUAUGCUCAAAAUUUCUGUCAGAAAUGUUUUACAGGAGUGGUGAUAAGAUUAAAAAUUACAUUUAGAAGUAUGUUUGAAUCUAUUGUAUGUAAAAUCACCUGGAAAUAAGACAAGUUUUGCUAACUUAAACUGGUCCUUCAUUAACUACAUAAAGAGUGGCUCCCUUUUAAUGCAGUCCGCCAUCUUACACACUGAACAGACAAACUUGAAACAGCCAUAAUGAGUGUUUUUGUGUUUCAUGAGUAUCAGCAUGAAAUGCAGCAACUGAAAGACAAAGGAGAAAGUGAUUGUUGCGCACAAAAAGACAUUGAUGGUAAAACCCUGUCAAAUGAAGGAUUAAACUUACGCAUUACAGGCUUCUUGUCCUUUUAGGCCACCAUCACUUCAGCAAGGGCAGGGGUGAGCAAGGUGGAAUUUUAGUGUAGAACCUGGCUGCUAGAUUUUGUCAAAUACUCUCUUUUCCACAGACUGAGCCUUCAUGAGGAAAAGUGUUAUUCAAGUUACUUUAGAUAUUUGUUUUUUUACUCACCACAUUAUUCAGGUAGCCUCUAGAAAGAUAUUAAACCAUGAGAGUUACUUGUUCAGUUACUCUACUUCGUUACUCUGUCCAGCCAUGUCAAAGUAGAUCCAAUUUUCCCAUUGUUCACCAGGUGUAGUUCAAUGACACCAUGUAGCAUUUUGGGGGUCUUGUCCUCCUCAUCACAAACCCCUCAACUAUGAAUAAAUACAAGUGGCAAACAGAGUGAUGGAUAGUUGCAAAGUAAAUUUACUCAGGUUCUGCACUUGAAACCUCUGUGGUUGAAUGUUAGUGUCGAUUUUUGCGCCCCCAGUGGCCAGAACACUCUUUGCUUGUCUACGUAGCUACAUGUCUACAUGUCUAAGUACGUGGUGUUAUCUGACAAAAAUCUCAUCCUGCUGACGUUAGACUACUAAAUGUCUCAAUAUUGUGUACUGUGAAUACUCCAUAUGUAAAAUGUCCAAACAGGGCUGUUUGUCCAGGUGCUCUGCUGACACCUUCCUCUGGUUUCAGGCAUUAAAAAUGACAACAUAAAAUCAAAAUUCCUGUAGCUGACAGUCUUUUUUUGCUUUGUUUCAAUACAAUUUGAAGUCUCUUGCAUUUAUGUCAAAAACUCCUCAUAGCAGUUUUCAGUACAUUUUUCAAGUAUCUGCACCUCAUUUGAAUGUACACUUUUUGGGGACACUUUUUCUCAGUUACUCCACAUCAUUAGAAAGACAAAAACUUGACUAUUACUUUACUACAUUCUAUGAAUCUUCUUGUUACUCACAACCUUUGCUCUGAAGUCAGCUGAUGAAUUUUCUCUUAUUUCCUAAAAUCAUACACUGAGGAAACUAAACUGUGUUUGUGAAGCCCUCUGUGUGGUUUGUCUGUAUUUUAAGCCUCAUGUAUCCAUGGUCAAACGUAGAGCAGCUCAAAGCAAACACUACUGAGCUCAGAGAGUUAAUUUGCUGUUGGUAAUGACGCCGCAAUGGAGAAGAAAGAUGACUCUACAUCUUUGGCCCGAGUUUAAGGUUUUCGGAUGAAGAAUAAGUUGUGUUGUUCAGAUGUUUACUCUAGAAUAUGAGUAUUGUGUCUACACAGUCUUCAUCAUGACCUCCAAAAAGGAUGUUAAAGCAUGAGACUGAACAUUUGUGUUGUUCCAGAUGAACAUUUUAAACUCAGUUGUCUGUACUUGCAGUAACUUGGUUGCUGUUUUUGAUUCUGUGACUGGUUGUUUCUAUUAUUUUGGAGCAGCAAACCUGGAAAUUUGCAGCAUGUGAGACAAAUUUCCAAACAAACAUCACAGAGCAGAAAGAACAUCCAUGAUUUCUUAACUGUGGUCAUGCAGAGAGAAAAAUCAACAAUGUUUUAAGUUUAUAAUGAAAAAAAGAUUUAAAAUGUUGGUCUUAUUACAGUUUUUUAUCUAGAAGCCUAGCAUUUCAUGACCAGCCACCACCAGUAAAUGAUAAAAAAAAAAAAAAAACAAUGUUAAAUGCACUUUAAUUCGUUGUUUUUGGACAUUUUGGACAAAACAAGUGUUUGGUGAAAAGCUCAACGUCACCUACACAUGACAAUGCAGCUGGAAAAGCGUUGUAUUAUCUCCUCUUGUAGUGGCUUGGUUGAAACGGAUAUUUACAGACACUUAGAAGUUAUGCACUAUGAGCUCUAUUUUCGUGUCCGCCGGUGAGGCGGCAGAGGGUGGCGGACCCCGCGCAGUGGUGUUUUCGUCUGGCAGGGCCAGGUGUACAGCCAGUUUGGUAUUUUCGUGAACUGAGGCGCACCAAGGUCCGCCAAGCUGGGCGUGGUGGCGUGGCAGAGGGAGGUGUCGACAGAAUCAGCUGCCGCCGUGACAUUUUCGUGCUCGCCGGUGGCGUAUAAAUUGCGCUGAAAGCUCGCCGAUUCAAACCUGGUCAGCUUUCAGCGCAGGCGGAGUGCAGCUGGUCUAGUGGUAUUUUGGUAGACCUGCGGCGUAUCGGCAUACGUCACUGAUGCCUCACCGGCAGGUUUCCACAGUUUCAGGCACAUUUCAGUGCAAUAAAUAAUCAUCAACAACUAAUAAUCUGAGUCAGCACAUACAUUUAGAUCUAUAUAGAUCUAUUCUGAUCUAUAUCUGAUCUGAUGAGCGCGUUUGGCACGUGUUUGGACACACAACCUGACCGAAUCAACACAGCUGAAACCGCAUUAAAUUAAAUUAAAUAUCUAGUAAAUAGACACACAUGAUGACGUUAACAAGAUACGUAAUUCCUCUCCCUCCUUUUCUUUCUUCCUCUUCCUCUUAGAGCUCAAAAUAAGAUGUCUCUGUGUCCUCUCCCCGUCCUGCUGGCUGCUGUCCUGUCCUGCUGGCUGAACAGAUGAUUUGUUUCAGUGAUCAGAUAAGUUAUUGGUUCCGAUGGUUCCGAUUUUAAUGCCAUUUUUGGAAUUUAUGAUGUGAUCUGUGAGCACAACCCACCUUUGUCACGUGAGGUUUGAAUAUAUGCAACUUAAUGUGAGUGUCUUUAUUUGUGGAAAAG